UACGGAGGGAGCUAGCGUUGUUCGGAAUUACUGGGCGUAAAGCGCGCGUAGGCGGCUUUGUAAGUUAGAGGUGAAAGCCCGGGGCUCAACCCCGGAACUGCCUUUGAAACUGCUGGUCUGGAGGUCGAGAGAGGCGAGUGGAAUUCCGAGUGUAGAGGUGAAAUUCGUAGAUAUUCGGAGGAACACCAGUGGCGAAGGCGGCUCGCUGGCUCGAUACUGACGCUGAGGUGCGAAAGCGUGGGGAGCAAACAGG
Molecule: ribosomal RNA, 253 nt
Filed under: uncultured bacterium
Lineage: Bacteria
Description: partial 16S ribosomal RNA
Rfam family: Bacterial small subunit ribosomal RNA
Source: RNAcentral